UGCCCGGUAGCUCAGUGGUAGAGCAGGUGACUGUUAAUCACUUGGUCGCAGGUUCGAACCCUGCCCGGGCAGCCA
RNAcentral lists this transfer RNA (75 nucleotides) under Puniceicoccales bacterium. RNAcentral's name for it is "tRNA-Asn". It matches the Rfam family "tRNA". From Rfam's summary of the family: Transfer RNA (tRNA) molecules are approximately 80 nucleotides in length. Their secondary structure includes four short double-helical elements and three loops (D, anti-codon, and T loops). Further hydrogen bonds mediate the characteristic L-shaped molecular structure. tRNAs have two regions of fundamental functional importance: the anti-codon, which is responsible for specific mRNA codon recognition, and the 3' end, to which the tRNAs corresponding amino acid is attached (by aminoacyl-tRNA synthetases). tRNAs cope with the degeneracy of the genetic code in two manners: having more than one tRNA (with a specific anti-codon) for a particular amino acid; and 'wobble' base-pairing, i.e. permitting non-standard base-pairing at the 3rd anti-codon position. Lineage: Bacteria; Pseudomonadati; Verrucomicrobiota; Opitutia; Puniceicoccales. The record is from RNAcentral.